CCUACGGGUGGCUGCAGUGAGGAAUCUUGCACAAUGGGCGAAAGCCUGAUGCAGCGACGCCGCGUGAGGGACGAAGGCCUUCGGGUUGUAAACCUCUGUCAGUGGGGAAGAAGAAUGACGGUACCCACUGAGGAAGCUUCGGCUAACUACGUGCCAGCAGCCGCGGUAAUACGUAGGGAGCAAGCGUUGCCCGGAAUUACUGGGCGUAAAGAGCUCGUAGGCGGGGGCGUGCGUCCGAGAAGAAAUCUUACGGCUCAACCGUAGGGCUAUCUCGG
Molecule: ribosomal RNA, 275 nt
Filed under: uncultured bacterium
Lineage: Bacteria
Description: partial 16S ribosomal RNA
Rfam family: Bacterial small subunit ribosomal RNA
Source: RNAcentral